GACGAACGCUGGCGGCGUGCCUAAUACAUGCAAGUAGAACGCACAGUUUAUACCGUAGCUUGCUACACCAUAGACUGUGAGUUGCGAACGGGUGAGUAACGCGUAGGUAACCUGCCUGGUAGCGGGGGAUAACUAUUGGAAACGAUAGCUAAUACCGCAUAAUAUUGAUUAUUGCAUGAUAAUUGAUUGAAAGAUGCUAUUGCAUCACUACCAGAUGGACCUUCGUUGUAUUAGCUAGUAGGUGAGGUAACGGCUCACCUAGGCGACGAUACAUAGCCGACCUGAGAGGGUGAUCGGCCACACUGGGACUGAGACACGGCCCAGACUCCUACGGGAGGCAGCAGUAGGGAAUCUUCGGCAAUGGACGAAAGUCUGACCGAGCAACGCCGCGUGAGUGAAGAAGGGUUUCGGAUCGUAAAGCUCUGUUGUAAGAGAAGAACGGGUGUGAGAGUGGAAAGUUCACACUGUGACGGUAUCUUACCAGAAAGGGACGGCUAACUACGUG
Molecule: ribosomal RNA, 505 nt
Filed under: uncultured bacterium
Lineage: Bacteria
Description: partial 16S ribosomal RNA
Rfam family: Bacterial small subunit ribosomal RNA
Source: RNAcentral